Molecule: long non-coding RNA, 1603 nt
Organism: Salvia splendens (bonfire salvia)
Lineage: Eukaryota; Viridiplantae; Streptophyta; Magnoliopsida; Lamiales; Lamiaceae
Exons: 2
Source: RefSeq, a predicted model, not a curated record
UUCCCUUUCUCCUAGAUUCGUUAAAUCAAUUGAGUACCGCUACACUAGUACUCAACCUUCUUCACCCUUCAAUCUCCUUUCCAUUCGCUACUUUUCAAAUCGAGGGAAAAAUCCUCAAAUCUCUUCCCUCAUCCCUCGCCGCAGCGUCGCCACUCGCGACAACAAAUAGCCAGCAUCGUUGCCAAUGUUGUAGUGUGCUCGUCGCGCUUCGUCGCUGCUUCUGUGGCUGCUCCUGAAUCCGCCGUGGUCGCAGCGUCAGGCUCCCUCCGUCGCGUUCUUCCACCGUCGCGCACGGCUCGCGGUGCUACCGCCAGCCGCCGUUUUCCUCACGAGGCGGCGCCACCACCAUUUUCUGUUGUGUCCCAGCCCGGUCGGCGAGGGCUCAACAGACUGACCUCCGCCCAUCUCGGCGCCGUCGCUUCGGAGCUUUCGUAGCUCACCUUCUAUCGGAUAUCUCUCGUUUCGAAGCUAAGUUCCUUUCCUCAAUUUGUUUGAUUAUAUCACAUUCGGUGUAUUCAUGUUAUUGGUGUUGAGGUUUCGUGUUUGGCGUUUCAUUGAGUGUGGAUUAAGUAGUUGAAUAUGUUAACUUGCUACUUAGGAGAUCUUUGUAUUGUUGAGAUAGAUUUAGUUGAUCGCUGGGGCGAGUUUAGCCCUUUCGAUCCUCGCUAGAAUAAUACACCCUGGCUGCUUUGAGCUUUGUCCGAAUCCUAGUGGCUGCUACUUAUCAUGUCGGGAUUCUACCUAUGUGAUGCUUGUUCCUUGUUAUUGUUGCGAGGGUUUCAUUGUGAAUCUCGGGUCUCGGCUAUCUAUUGCCUCAUUCAACAUGAUGCAAGUAUGGUUUUGAUGGGUUACCUCUUGUGCUUGAAGAAGCGAGGCUGCCUAGUUGUUGCUCGCGAAUGCUCCACUUGCUUCACUAUGGGCGGCUGGAAAGUAGUGUAUGUGGUAGGGGGAACUUUGAUGUGUAUGGAGGUUCUUCUUAUAGGCCAAGUGUGUGCCUAUGAGGGACAUAUAAAGGCUGCAUCCUUUGUUUCUAUGCGCAAUACACUCAGUCCUUGAUCCUCUUGCAGCUUUUCAUUUAAGGCAUUUUGGUGUAAUCACUUACUCUAUCUUGUUGCCACAUGAAACAACCUAGUACUCAGCUAGUAAUGGGGUUUGUUUGUUAUGGCAGGUGCUCAACACGGUACAGGAUGGUCAAUGGCAGCGUUGCAGGGUAUCUACCGCUGCUGGGGUGAGUGGUACCGGCUGGCCUUACUUCCUUUUGGCCAAGCUCUUCUUCAUUGUGGAAAGGAGGCUGAUCCCUCUGGUUGCCACCUCUUUGGUUCGGCCCGAAGGACCGUCGAAGAUUGGGCCGCAACUCGGGUCGAUGGAAGGGCCGAAACUUAGCCUUCUAAAAUAUAAUAGGGUUAGAUCUUUCCAAGCUUUCUUUUCUCUCUACAAUUUACGAAUCCUUUUGUAAAGUUAGAAUGUAUUUCCCUUUUGGUUCGUUCCUAAUCACAUUCCUUUUGUAAAUUAGGACAUAAAUCGGCCGGUAGCACGUUGUAUUUUAUUUAUGCAAGGCAUAGACGGUCAUGCUUUCCUUUUUAUUAAAUUCUUUUUUUAUUUC